UGAGGAACAUGACCUUCGGCGGGGGAUAGCCGGCCCAACGGCCGGGUAAUACCGCGUACGACCAUUUAGGGACAUCCCUGAUUGGUGAAAGCAGCAAUGCGCCGAAAGAGUGCCUCGCGGCCUAUCAGCUAGUUGGUGGGGUAAUGGCUCACCAAGGCAACGACGGGUAGCUGGU
Molecule: ribosomal RNA, 175 nt
Filed under: uncultured bacterium
Lineage: Bacteria
Description: partial 16S ribosomal RNA
Rfam family: Bacterial small subunit ribosomal RNA
Source: RNAcentral